GCCUCGGUAGCUCAGUGGUAGAGCGAUUGCCUUGUAAGCAGUAGGUCAAGGGUUCAACUCCCUUCCGGGGCU
This 72-nucleotide transfer RNA is filed under the name archaeon CG10_big_fil_rev_8_21_14_0_10_43_11. RNAcentral describes it as "tRNA-Thr". It matches the Rfam family "tRNA". Rfam says of the family: Transfer RNA (tRNA) molecules are approximately 80 nucleotides in length. Their secondary structure includes four short double-helical elements and three loops (D, anti-codon, and T loops). Further hydrogen bonds mediate the characteristic L-shaped molecular structure. tRNAs have two regions of fundamental functional importance: the anti-codon, which is responsible for specific mRNA codon recognition, and the 3' end, to which the tRNAs corresponding amino acid is attached (by aminoacyl-tRNA synthetases). tRNAs cope with the degeneracy of the genetic code in two manners: having more than one tRNA (with a specific anti-codon) for a particular amino acid; and 'wobble' base-pairing, i.e. permitting non-standard base-pairing at the 3rd anti-codon position. The record is from RNAcentral.